RNAcentral lists this ribosomal RNA (716 nucleotides) under Clostridium botulinum. RNAcentral's name for it is "partial 23S ribosomal RNA". It matches the Rfam family "Bacterial large subunit ribosomal RNA", at positions 1176 to 1910 of the family's 2925-position model. Lineage: Bacteria; Bacillati; Bacillota; Clostridia; Eubacteriales; Clostridiaceae. The record is from RNAcentral.
CGGGGCUCAAACUUACCACCGAAGCUAUGGGUGUACACUAUGUGUACGCGGUAGAGGAGCUUUCUGUAUGGGUUGAAGUCGUACCGUAAGGAGCGGUGGACUGUACAGAAGUGAGAAUGCUGGCAUAAGUAGCGAGAAAUAAGUGAGAAUCUUAUUGGCCGAAAACCUAAGGUUUCCUGAGGAAGGUUCGUCCGCUCAGGGUUAGUCGGGACCUAAGCCGAGGCCGAAAGGCGUAGGUGAUGGACAAUCGGUUGAUAUUCCGAUACCGCCUAUUUACGUUUGAGAAAUGGGGUGACGCAGUAGGAUAAGAUGUGCGCACUAUUGGAUGUGCGUCUAAGCACUUAGGCAUGCUUGAUAGGCAAAUCCGUCGAGCUAAGCUGAGGUGUGAUGGGGAGCCAUUUAUGGCGAAGUAUCUGAUUCCACACUGCCAAGAAAAGCCUCUAUCGAGUGAAUAGGUGCCCGUACCGCAAACCGACACAGGUAGGUGAGGAGAGAAUCCUAAGGCCAUCGGAAGAAUUGCUGUUAAGGAACUCGGCAAAUUGACCCCGUAACUUCGGGAGAAGGGGUGCCUACGAAAGUAGGCCGCAGAGAAUAGGCCCAAGCAACUGUUUAGCAAAAACACAGGUCUCUGCUAAAGCGAAAGCUGAUGUAUAGGGGCUGACGCCUGCCCGGUGCUGGAAGGUUAAGGGGAACACUUAGCGUAAGCGAAGGUGUGA